GAUCCUACGGGGGGCAGCAGUGAGGAAUAUUGGUCAAUGGGCGCGAGCCUGAACCAGCCAAGUCGCGUGAGGGAAGACGGUCCUAUGGAUUGUAAACCUCUUUUGUCGGAGAACAAAACCCGGGACGUGUCCCGGACUGCGUGUAUCCGAAGAAAAGGCAUCGGCUAACUCCGUGCCAGCAGCCGCGGUAAUACGGAGGAUGCGAGCGUUAAUCGGAAUUACUGGGCGUAAAGGGUGUGCAGGCGGCUGAGUAAGACAGAUGUGAAAUCCCCGGGCUUAACCUGGGAACCGCAUAUGUGACUGCU
RNAcentral lists this ribosomal RNA (305 nucleotides) under uncultured bacterium. RNAcentral describes it as "bacterial SSU rRNA". It matches the Rfam family "Bacterial small subunit ribosomal RNA", at positions 335 to 637 of the family's 1533-position model. The record is from RNAcentral.